This 445-nucleotide long non-coding RNA is filed under the name Populus tremula. RNAcentral's name for it is "long non-coding RNA (PTRE_LNC002275)". The record is from RNAcentral. Lineage: Eukaryota; Viridiplantae; Streptophyta; Magnoliopsida; Malpighiales; Salicaceae.
CCCCAUGACAUCUACAUCCUUGACCAUGCUGAGGAGGCAGAAGAGAUUGACCUCCCCUACUCAUGCAGGGCUGGAUCAUGCUCUUCAUGUCUUGGCAAGAUUGUGAAGGGGACUGUGGACCAGUCUGAUGCUAGCUUCCUUGAUGAUGACCAGAUAGAGGAAGGCUGGGUUCUCACCUGUGUUGCUUAUCCUACGUCUGAUGUUGUCAUCGAGACACACAAAGAGGAAGAGUUUAGCGGUUAAAUAAGAUCUCUUUCUGUUUGUGUCGUCGGUGUUGUUCCGGCAGGGGGGGAUUUUAUGAUUGUUAUCUCUACUGUUACUGAGCAUGUAAUUUAAUUUGUCCCAACUUUUUCUUCCUUCAUUUGUAGUCUCAAAUGAAACUGCGUUUACUUAAUAAAUCUUAGUGUAUGGGAUUGUUUCCUCAACCGCCAUGGAUCUCUCUCUC